Molecule: ribosomal RNA, 500 nt
Filed under: uncultured Glomeromycotina
Lineage: Eukaryota; Fungi; Glomeromycota
Description: partial small subunit ribosomal RNA
Rfam family: Eukaryotic small subunit ribosomal RNA
Source: RNAcentral
CCAAUAGCGUAUAUUAAAGUUGUUGCAGUUAAAAAGCUCGUAGUUGAAUUUCGGGAUCAAUUAGUUGGUCGUGCCUCUGGUACGUACUGGUUUUAUUGGUUCCUCCCUUCUGACGAAACAUGAUGUCAUUAAUUUGGUGUCGUGGAGAAUCAGGACUGUUACCUUGAAAAAAUUAGAGUGUUUAUAGCAGGCUAACGCUUGAAUACAUUAGCAUGGAAUAAUGAAAUAGGACGUUCGACCCUAUUUUGUUGGUUUCUAGGAUCGACGUAAUGAUUAAUAGGGAUAGUUGGGGGCAUUAGUAUUCAAUUGUCAGAGGUGAAAUUCUUGGAUUUAUUGAAGACUAACUACUGCGAAAGCAUUUGCCAAGGAUGUUUUCAUUAAUCAAGAACGAAAGUUAGGGGAUCGAAGACGAUCAGAUACCGUCGUAGUCUUAACCAUAAACUAUGCCGACUAGGGAUCGGAUGAUGUUAAUUUUUUAAUGACUCAUUCGGCGCCUUACG